AUUGAACGCUGGCGGCAGGCCUAACACAUGCAAGUCGAGCGGAUGAAGGGAGCUUGCUCCUGGAUUCAGCGGCGGACGGGUGAGUAAUGCCUAGGAAUCUGCCUGGUAGUGGGGGAUAACGUCCGGAAACGGGCGCUAAUACCGCAUACGUCCUGAGGGAGAAAGUGGGGGAUCUUCGGACCUCACGCUAUCAGAUGAGCCUAGGUCGGAUUAGCUAGUUGGUGGGGUAAAGGCCUACCAAGGCGACGAUCCGUAACUGGUCUGAGAGGAUGAUCAGGCACACUGGAACUGAGACACGGUCCAGACUCCUACGGGAAGCAGCAGUGGGGAAUAUUGGACAAUGGGCGAAAGCCUGAUCCAGCCAUGCCGCGUGUGUGAAGAAGGUCUUCGGAUUGUAAAACGCUGUAAGUUGGGAGGAAGGGCAGUAAGUUAAUACCUUGCGGUUUUGACGUUACCAACAGAAUAAGCACCGGCUAACUACGUG
RNAcentral lists this ribosomal RNA (484 nucleotides) under uncultured bacterium. RNAcentral describes it as "partial 16S ribosomal RNA". It matches the Rfam family "Bacterial small subunit ribosomal RNA", at positions 30 to 507 of the family's 1533-position model. The record is from RNAcentral.